AGUCACUGACAUUAGAUACCCCGGUAGUCCAGGGUGUAAACGCUGCAGACUUGGUGUUGGGAACCCUUCGGGGGUGCUCAGUGCCGGAGAGAAGUUGUUAAGUCUGCUACUUGGGGAGUACGUCCGCAAGGAUGAAACUUAAAGGAAUUGGCGGGGGAGCACCGAAACGGGAGGAGCGUGCGGUUUAAUUGGAUUCAACGCCGAAAAACUCACCAGCAGCGACUGUUACAUGAAAGUCAGGUUGAUGACCUUACUAGAUUUUCAG
This 265-nucleotide ribosomal RNA is filed under the name uncultured archaeon. Its description in RNAcentral is "partial 16S ribosomal RNA". It matches the Rfam family "Archaeal small subunit ribosomal RNA", at positions 718 to 982 of the family's 1478-position model. The record is from RNAcentral.